This 240-nucleotide unclassified non-coding RNA is filed under the name soil metagenome. Its description in RNAcentral is "partial contains 5.8S ribosomal RNA, internal transcribed spacer 2, and large subunit ribosomal RNA". The record is from RNAcentral.
AACCAUAGAAACCUGCGGAGUACCUGCGGAAGGAUCAUUACAAAAGUUAUACACUUGGGGAAAGGACUCGUCUUUCGGGACUUGAGGCCUGACUCCAUUUGUAACACAACUUUCAACCACUUGUGAACAUGUAAUAAUUAUCUCACCAAUUGACUGUUAACGAAGUCUGAUUCAAAUUGUAUUGGUGUUAAUAGACACUAGUAAAAUAUGAAACAACUUUCAGCAAUGGAUCUCAGAUCG